UACAGGGGGGGCAAGCGUUGUUCGGAAUUACUGGGCGUAAAGGGUUCGUAGGUGGCUUACUAAGUCAGACGUGAAAUCCCUCAGCUUAACUGGGGAACUGCGUCUGAUACUGGAAAGCUUGAGUGCAGGAGAGGAACGCGGAAUUCCAGGUGUAGCGGUGAAAUGCGUAGAUAUCUGGAGGAACACCGGUGGCGAAGGCGGCAUCCUGGACCGACACUGACGCUGAGGAGCGAAAGCCAGGGGAGCAAACGGG
Molecule: ribosomal RNA, 253 nt
Filed under: uncultured bacterium
Lineage: Bacteria
Description: partial 16S ribosomal RNA
Rfam family: Bacterial small subunit ribosomal RNA
Source: RNAcentral